Long non-coding RNA from Anser cygnoides (Swan goose), 1750 nucleotides. The record is from Ensembl. Lineage: Eukaryota; Metazoa; Chordata; Aves; Anseriformes; Anatidae.
AUGGAAGAAUAUCACAAGAUUCAUCUUAGUCUCAUUAUGUUAGGCUAUUCCAUUCCCUACUCACUCCACUGGAGGAAGGAAUGGCCCCACAUUGAGUACCCCAAAGGCAUCUGGUACUUUGGGAUCAGCUCUCCUGUUCCCAGCUUGACCUACAGAGGUUCUCCUGUGAUUCUCCCCAAGAAUUACAAGGCUAUGACCCUGGACUGUUUGAAACUCGAAGUGACAAAGAGGAAAAGAAAAAAAAAAUAAAAAGAAAAAGAAAAAAGAAGAAAAAAAAAUAGGAUGUACCAACAGAGAAGUAGAGAGGAAGAUUUCAAAUGCAGAAGAAAAUGGGAAGAAGUUGUAUGAUUGAUUUUCUGUGUAAAUAAUUUUCUAGAUUCCUUUUUUCACCUCAUUAAAAAAGACAAAUUUCUCCCUCUAAUCCAACACCAGCCCACUCAGAGGCUAAAUUACGCAUAGGCUCUAUGUGUUAUGCUGACUGACGUGAGCAUCUUUCACUGCUGGGUGCUAUGGGACAGCAGGUGAGAUGUUCCUAAAAUUCACAGAGGCUCAGGUUCCUUUCACACCACUGAAAAACUCCCAGGAUGCUACUAGUGUCAUGCUAGUCUAAAUCUGGCAUACAAAGCCCUGUUAUUAACUCACUGAAAAUGUAUCUUUUGAUUUAUUUGGGAUUUGGUUCAGGCAACAGUGAUCUUAUAAUCCAGAUAACUCCUUGAAGAUCCAUGAAUUCAGUAGUGCUAUAGAUACAGAAAAUAACUAUUUACUACUUAUAAAAACAAAACAAAACAAAACAAACUGAUUAGUAGCUGCUCCUUUGUGCUCCAUUAAGAGACACAUUAAUAUCAAUUUAAACUGUUUGUAAUAGAAGUUGCCAAACAAAAAAUGUGUGAAAUCUGUCUUUAAAGUAGCUUCAUAGCAAAUUGAUUACAUCUAGAAGACAGAACAAAGUAUAAAUUUUUCUUCUGUGUACAAAUUAUAGUCUAAUUCUGAAAACAGAAUAGUAGAGAGAACAUUCUUUGACCACAACAAAAGUUUUGGAAAGGGAUAUCUAUUUUGCAUAAAAACUAUUUCAAUCAAAGUCAACUCUCAGGCACUUCCAUGUAGCCUUGGCUUUGAUAAGUUCUUAAUUUACAAUUUUAGGAUUAUUGUUAUAUGCAACCUGUUAAUAAUGACAUAGUCCAGUUGGAAAGAGACAGAAAAUCAGCAGGAAUUGUCAUGGGUCUAGAAAUGAUAACCUAUAAGGAAAGAUUGAGAGGAAAUAUUGUCUAGAUAAGGGAAAAGUGAGAGGAAAUAUGGAAACAAAAAUAUGCAAGAGGAUGCUCUAAAGAUACAGGGUAUUAGCUUUCUUCCAUAUCCAUGAGAUUAAGACAAGAAGCAUUGGGUUUAAAGCACAAUACCAGUGAAUCAGGUAAGACAUUAAGAAAAGUCUUCUAAUGGUAGAACUCAUAAAUCACUGACGUGGAUAUGGAAUCUCCAUCAUCAGAUGAUUUUAAAAACAGUAAGGACAAAUUUGUCUCAGAAAUGGCGUAAUUGCGGUUAAUGUCACCAGGACAAGAGCACGAAGGAUUUGUCCUCUUGAUAUUCCUUAAAAUUCUUUCCACUCUGAUUUUGAGUUCAGCCUUUUCUAUUUUAACAUUUGGAUUUUUUUUUUUUGAUAGAAAAUCAGAUUUUUUUACAUUUUUCCCCUUUAUGCAUUUUGUUUGACAUAGAAGAAAAUAAAAAGCAGUUUGCCUACUGAAAGAUGAAUUAU